GAAAUGCGAUAAGUAAUGUGAAUUGCAGAAUUCAGUGAAUCAUCGAAUCUUUGAACGCACCUUGCGCUCCUUGGUAUUCCGAGGAGCAUGCCUGUUUGAGUGUCAUGGAAUUCUCAACUCUAUUUGCUUUUGUGAAUAGAGCUUGGAUUUGGAGGUUUAUUGCUGGUACUUGUGAUCGGCUCCUCUUGAAUGCAUUAGCUCGAACCUUUGCGGAUCAGCUAUCGGUGUGAUAAUUGUCUACGCCGUUGCAGUGAAGCAUAUCAAUGGGCUCGGCUUCCAAUCGUCCUUUACUGGACAAUGACUUUGACCUUUGACCUCAAAUCAGGUAGGAUUACCCGCUGAACUUAAG
RNAcentral lists this unclassified non-coding RNA (349 nucleotides) under plant metagenome. RNAcentral describes it as "partial contains 5.8S ribosomal RNA, internal transcribed spacer 2, and large subunit ribosomal RNA". The stretch from base 1 to 105 matches the Rfam family "5.8S ribosomal RNA", at positions 50 to 154 of the family's 154-position model. The record is from RNAcentral.